RNAcentral lists this non-coding RNA (154 nucleotides) under Thalassiosira gravida. The record is from RNAcentral. Lineage: Eukaryota; Bacillariophyta; Thalassiosirophyceae; Thalassiosirales; Thalassiosiraceae.
CAUCGGGGAAAUGUAAGAAUGAAAAGGAGACAAGAAGUAGAUCUUCACGAAAAGAGCUAAAUUUGUACCUCUCUGAAAUGUUAUUUCUUAAACCAUUUUGGUUUUCCAUUCUUCUUAUUUGGUUCAUUGCUGCUACUUUUCCGUCCUCCUAAUA